ACUAAGCGUACACGGUGGAUGCCCUGGCAGUCAGAGGCGAUGAAGGACGUGCUAAUCUGCGAAAAGCGUCGGUAAGGUGAUAUGAACCGUUAUAACCGGCGAUGUCCGAAUGGGGAAACCCAGUGUGAUUCGUCACACUAUCGUUAACUGAAUACAUAGGUUAACGAGGCGAACCGGGGGAACUGAAACAUCUAAGUACCCCGAGGAAAAGAAAUCAACCGAGAUUCCCCCAGUAGCGGCGAGCGAACGGGGAGCAGCCCAGAGUCUGAAUCAGCUUGUGUGUUAGUGGAACGGUCUGGAAAGUCCGACGGUACAGGGUGAUAGUCCCGUACACCAAAAUGCACAGGCUGUGAACUCGAAGAGUAGGGCGGGACACGUGGUAUCCUGUCUGAAUAUGGGGGGACCAUCCUCCAAGGCUAAAUACUCCUGACUGACCGAUAGUGAACCAGUACCGUGAGGGAAAGGCGAAAAGAACCCCGGCGAGGGGAGUGAAAAAGAACCUGAAACCGUGUACGUACAAGCAGUGGGAGCACCUUCGGGUGUGACUGCGUACCUUUUGUAUAAUGGGUCAGCGACUUAUAUUCUGUAGCAAGGUUAACCGUAUAGGGGAGCCGCAGGGAAACCGAGUCUUAACUGGGCGUUAAGUUGCAGGGUAUAGACCCGAAACCCGGUGAUCUAGCCAUGGGCAGGUUGAAGGUUGGGUAACACUAACUGGAGGACCGAACCGACUAAUGUUGAAAAAUUAGCGGAUGACUUGUGGCUGGGGGUGAAAGGCCAAUCAAACCGGGAGAUAGCUGGUUCUCCCCGAAAGCUAUUUAGGUAGCGCCUCGUGAAUUCAUCUUCGGGGGUAGAGCACUGUUUCGGCUAGGGGGUCAUCCCGACUUACCAACCCGAUGCAAACUACGAAUACCGAAGAAUGUUAUCACGGGAGACACACGGCGGGUGCUAACGUCCGUCGUGAAGAGGGAAACAACCCAGACCGCCAGCUAAGGUCCCAAAGUCAUGGUUAAGUGGGAAACGAUGUGGGAAGGCACAGACAGCCAGGAUGUUGGCUUAGAAGCAGCCAUCAUUUAAAGAAAGCGUAAUAGCUCACUGGUCGAGUCGGCCUGCGCGGAAGAUGUAACGGGGCUAAACCAUGCACCGAAGCUGCGGCAGCGACACUAUGUGUUGUUGGGUAGGGGAGCGUUCUGUAAGCCUGCGAAGGUGACCUGUGAGGGUUGCUGGAGGUAUCAGAAGUGCGAAUGCUGACAUAAGUAACGAUAAAGCGGGUGAAAAGCCCGCUCGCCGGAAGACCAAGGGUUCCUGUCCAACGUUAAUCGGGGCAGGGUGAGUCGACCCCUAAGGCGAGGCCGAAAGGCGUAGUCGAUGGGAAACAGGUUAAUAUUCCUGUACUUGGUGUUACUGCGAAGGGGGGACGGAGAAGGCUAUGUUAGCCGGGCGACGGUUGUCCCGGUUUAAGCAUGUAGGCUGAUUGUCCAGGCAAAUCCGGAUAAUCAAGGCUGAGGUGUGAUGACGAGGCACUACGGUGCUGAAGUAACAAAUGCCCUGCUUCCAGGAAAAGCCUCUAAGCAUCAGGUAACAUCAAAUCGUACCCCAAACCGACACAGGUGGUCAGGUAGAGAAUACCAAGGCGCUUGAGAGAACUCGGGUGAAGGAACUAGGCAAAAUGGUGCCGUAACUUCGGGAGAAGGCACGCUGGUGUGUAGGUGAAGUCCCUGCGGAUGGAGCUGAGACCAGUCGAAGAUACCAGCUGGCUGCAACUGUUUAUUAAAAACACAGCACUGUGCAAACACGAAAGUGGACGUAUACGGUGUGACGCCUGCCCGGUGCCGGAAGGUUAAUUGAUGGGGUUAUCCGUAAGGAGAAGCUCUUGAUCGAAGCCCCGGUAAACGGCGGCCGUAACUAUAACGGUCCUAAGGUAGCGAAAUUCCUUGUCGGGUAAGUUCCGACCUGCACGAAUGGCGUAAUGAUGGCCAGGCUGUCUCCACCCGAGACUCAGUGAAAUUGAACUCGCUGUGAAGAUGCAGUGUACCCGCGGCAAGACGGAAAGACCCCGUGAACCUUUACUAUAGCUUGACACUGAACAUUGAGCCUUGAUGUGUAGGAUAGGUGGGAGGCUUUGAAGCGUGGACGCCAGUCUGCGUGGAGCCAACCUUGAAAUACCACCCUUUAAUGUUUGAUGUUCUAACGUUGGCCCCUUACCGGGGUUGCGGACAGUGUCUGGUGGGUAGUUUGACUGGGGCGGUCUCCUCCCAAAGCGUAACGGAGGAGCACGAAGGUUAGCUAAUCCUGGUCGGACAUCAGGAGGUUAGUGCAAUGGCAUAAGCUAGCUUGACUGCGAGCGUGACGGCGCGAGCAGGUGCGAAAGCAGGUCAUAGUGAUCCGGUGGUUCUGAAUGGAAGGGCCAUCGCUCAACGGAUAAAAGGUACUCCGGGGAUAACAGGCUGAUACCGCCCAAGAGUUCAUAUCGACGGCGGUGUUUGGCACCUCGAUGUCGGCUCAUCACAUCCUGGGGCUGAAGUAGGUCCCAAGGGUAUGGCUGUUCGCCAUUUAAAGUGGUACGCGAGCUGGGUUUAGAACGUCGUGAGACAGUUCGGUCCCUAUCUGCCGUGGGCGCUGGAGAAUUGAGGGGGGCUGCUCCUAGUACGAGAGGACCGGAGUGGACGCAUCACUGGUGUUCGGGUUGUCAUGCCAAUGGCACUGCCCGGUAGCUAAAUGCGGAAGAGAUAAGUGCUGAAAGCAUCUAAGCACGAAACUUGCCCCGAGAUGAGUUCUCCCUGAGACUUUAAGUCUCCUGAAGGAACGUUGAAGACGACGACGUUGAUAGGCCGGGUGUGUAAGCGCAGCGAUGCGUUGAGCUAACCGGUACUAAUGAACCGUGAGGCUUAACC
RNAcentral lists this ribosomal RNA (2891 nucleotides) under Klebsiella pneumoniae. Its description in RNAcentral is "bacterial LSU rRNA". It matches the Rfam family "Bacterial large subunit ribosomal RNA". Lineage: Bacteria; Pseudomonadati; Pseudomonadota; Gammaproteobacteria; Enterobacterales; Enterobacteriaceae. The record is from RNAcentral.